This 450-nucleotide ribosomal RNA is filed under the name uncultured bacterium. Its description in RNAcentral is "bacterial SSU rRNA". It matches the Rfam family "Bacterial small subunit ribosomal RNA", at positions 354 to 796 of the family's 1533-position model. The record is from RNAcentral.
GUGGGGAGUUUUGGACAAUGGGCGCAAGCCUGAUCCAGCAAUGCCGCGUGCAGGAAGAAGGCCUUCGGGUUGUAAACUGCUUUUGUACGGAACGAAACGGUCCUGGUUAAUACCUGGGGCUAAUGACGGUACCGUAAGAAUAAGCACCGGCUAACUACGUGCCAGCAGCCGCGGUAAUACGUAGGGUGCGAGCGUUAAUCGGAAUUACUGGGCGUAAAGCGUGCGCAGGCGGUGCUGUAAGACAGGCGUGAAAUCCCCGGGCUCAACCUGGGAAUUGCGCUUGUGACUGCAGUGCUGGAGUACGGCAGAGGGGGAUGGAAUUCCGCGUGUAGCAGUGAAAUGCGUAGAUAUGCGGAGGAACACCGAUGGCGAAGGCAGUCCCCUGGGCCUGUACUGACGCUCAUGCACGAAAGCGUGGGGAGCAAACAGGAUUAGAAACCCGGGUAGUCC